Vitis vinifera (wine grape) is the source of this 1021-nucleotide long non-coding RNA. RefSeq lists it as uncharacterized. The transcript is spliced from 2 exons. The record is from RefSeq and is a predicted model, not a curated record. NCBI's taxonomy places the organism in Eukaryota, Viridiplantae, Streptophyta, Magnoliopsida, Vitales, Vitaceae.
CUCUGCAAGUUAUGGAGCUUUGACCCCAAUUCUAAAGGGAUUGUUCCCGUUAACCGAUUCUCAAACAGUGUAAUGUGACGCAGGGCAGUGCAAUUACUGAUGGAUGCAGCUUGGUUAGAUUCGAAAGAAACGAUGGUAUAGCUCCAGUGAGGCUGUUCUGAGAGAGACAUAGGUAUGUCAAGUUUGUCAUUUGGCCCAGUACAGCAGGAAUGCUUCCAGUCAGAUUGGUAUAGUCCAAGUCUAUUGUCUCCAGGCUCCAGCAGCCUUUUAUUGAGGCUGGAAUAUUGCCCCCAAGCUUAUUACGACUCAUGUUUAUGAAUGUUAACUCAGAAAGCUCUCCAAUGGUAGCUGGAAUCCCUCCGUACAAGCUGUUGGCUUGCAAAGAGAGGGUGGUGAGAUGGGAUAGAUUGGAUAUGUAUGGUGAGAUAACUCCCUCUAAGCGCAUGUUUAUGAGCUCAAUGGCUAUGACCCGGUUCUUAAGCUGCUGGUGGCAUGUAAUCCCUGUCCAGUUGCAGAAGAACAUGGUUUCAUUCCAAUCUUGGAGAUGACCAUCUGGAUCACCUGUUAUGCCUUGUUUGAAUUUGAGCAGAGAUUGACAAUCAGUGGAGUUUUUGCAGAGGAAUGUGGAAGUUGAUAGUAGAGCAAGAAAACUAAGAGAGAAAAAUACUGCCACAGCAACGGGAUUGUUCUGAUUGUAUGCCAUUCUCUCUCUCUCUCUCUCUCACUGUGUGUGUGUACAACUUUUGGAAGAAGAUGUUAGAUUUUAGGCCAGGAUUUUUUUCUCACUUGUUAGGUAGUAGUUUAAAUAGAUGGGCUCAGUUGUUCAAAUGGUUCAGACAACUUGGCCUAGUGAGGGGCAGGUGGUGAGCCCUCAUUUAUCACUGGGACCAUAGAUUAGGUAUAGCCAUCACCUGUCUGGGCCCCCCAGUCUCUUAACUACAUUCAAUCCCUUCAAUGCUGUUUGACAUUUUCUUCCAUGACAGAAUUAAUAGCUAUGGAGUUUCCCAAAAUUUGCUCCAAA